This 345-nucleotide unclassified non-coding RNA is filed under the name soil metagenome. Its description in RNAcentral is "partial contains 5.8S ribosomal RNA, internal transcribed spacer 2, and large subunit ribosomal RNA". The stretch from base 1 to 120 matches the Rfam family "5.8S ribosomal RNA", at positions 35 to 154 of the family's 154-position model. The record is from RNAcentral.
GAUGAAGAACGUAGCGAAAUGCGAUAAGUAGUGUGAAUUGCAGAAUUCAGUGAAUCAUCGAGUCUUUGAACGCACAUUGCGCCCUCUGGUAUUCCGGAGGGCAUGCCUGUCCGAGCGUCAUUGCUGCCCUCAAGCACGGCUUGUGUGUUGGGCCCCGCCCCCCGAUCCCGGGGGGCGGGCCCGAAAGGCAGCGGCGGCACCGCGUCCGGUCCUCGAGCGUAUGGGGCUUUGUCACCCGCUCUGUAGGCCCGGCCGGCGCUUGCCGAUCAACCAAACUUUUUUCCAGGUUGACCUCGGAUCAGGUAGGGAUACCCGCUGAACUUAAGCAUAUCAAUAAGCGGAGGA